This 384-nucleotide ribosomal RNA is filed under the name uncultured bacterium. Its description in RNAcentral is "bacterial SSU rRNA". It matches the Rfam family "Bacterial small subunit ribosomal RNA", at positions 29 to 402 of the family's 1533-position model. The record is from RNAcentral.
AAUCAACGCUGGCGGCGUGCCUAACACAUGCAAGUCGAACGCGAGAGUCCCGCAAGGGACAAUUGAGUGGCAAACGGGUGAGUAACACGUGGGUGACCUGCCUUCGAGUGGGGGAUAACGUCCCGAAAGGGACGCUAAUACCGCAUGACAUCCUGUUUUUGGACAGGCGGAGAUCAAAGCCGGGGAUCGCAAGACCUGGCGCUUGAAGAGGGGCCCGCGUCUGAUUAGCUAGUUGGGAGGUAACGGCUCACCAAGGCGACGAUCAGUAUCCGGCCUGAGAGGGCGGACGGACGCACUGGGACUGAGACACGGCCCAGACUCCUACGGGAGGCAGCAGUGGGAAUCUUGCGCAAUGGGCGAAAGCCUGACGCAGCGACGCCGCGU